Corticium candelabrum is the source of this 3641-nucleotide long non-coding RNA. RefSeq lists it as uncharacterized. The transcript is spliced from 10 exons. Lineage: Eukaryota; Metazoa; Porifera; Homoscleromorpha; Homosclerophorida; Plakinidae. The record is from RefSeq and is a predicted model, not a curated record.
GUAGAGUUCUUCCAAUGUAGGUCUGUCUUUUUGACCACCCUUGUGGAGUUUGUUGGUCAGAAUGAGUUGAUGGAUGCUGUUGUGGUCAGUAGUUGAUGUUAAUCAGGAUGUUCAUUUGCUGAUCCCCACUUUUGGGAAAUGCAUUCUGAAGCCGGAGAUGUUGAAGUGGUACUUCCGGUGUGGAGGUCCUGUUCAGUGUUUACGUACUCAUUGUCUGUUUAGAGUUGUUUUCUGUUAGAAUGUAGUUGUUAUUAGAGAGACAAUUCAAGACAAUAUCGAUUGAGCGUUUUCAGAGAGGUUAUGUGUCAGAUAUGAGAUGUGAUCACUAAUCAAAACGUUAUGGAACGAUAUCCAGCUUCGGGUAUCGUUUCAGCGUGCACAUAAGCGAGCGCGGUGCGGUCUAUUGGCGUACGCGUUUCGGUUUAUAACCUUCAUCAGCGCCAGACACGCAUCGAUGAGAAUGUCUAACCUUGCAACACGCUAGAGAAUGUCACUCGUCAGUUGUCGUUCAUAUAAAGAAGUUUUGAGAAGUCGUGACGUGAUCGGAGGUUUGACUAGGUUUCAGAACAAUGGAUUCUUGUGUCCGUUUGACGUAAUGAGUUCUUUUGGUAUGUCGGCGGCGGGAGAUAUAUGUCUGUAUCCGGAAGCAACGGUGACGGUGUGGUUGGAAAGAGCAGCUGGCAUAAGUGAUAUGGACGAACAGAGCGAGUGAUGAUGAGCUCUCGAUGAGGUGAAGACGACAUCUGAUCGGUCUGUCUUUUUGACCACCCUUGUGGAGUUUGUUGGUCAGAAUGAGUUGAUGGAUGCUGUUGUGGUCAGUAGUUGAUGUUAAUCAGGAUGUUCAUUUGCUGAUCCCCACUUUUGGGAAAUGCAUUCUGAAGCCGGAGAUGUUGAAGUGGUACUUCCGGUGUGGAGGUCCUGUUCAGUGUUUACGUACUCAUUGUCUGUUUAGAGUUGUUUUCUGUUAGAAUGUAGUUGUUAUUAGAGAGACAAUUCAAGACAAUAUCGAUUGAGCGUUUUCAGAGAGGUUAUGUGUCAGAUAUGAGAUGUGAUCACUAAUCAAAACGUUAUGGAACGAUAUCCAGCUUCGGGUAUCGUUUCAGCGUGCACAUAAGCGAGCGCGGUGCGGUCUAUUGGCGUACGCGUUUCGGUUUAUAACCUUCAUCAGCGCCAGACACGCAUCGAUGAGAAUGUCUAACCUUGCAACACGCUAGAGAAUGUCACUCGUCAGUUGUCGUUCAUAUAAAGAAGUUUUGAGAAGUCGUGACGUGAUCGGAGGUUUGACUAGGUUUCAGAACAAUGGAUUCUUGUGUCCGUUUGACGUAAUGAGUUCUUUUGGUAUGUCGGCGGCGGGAGAUAUAUGUCUGUAUCCGGAAGCAACGGUGACGGUGUGGUUGGAAAGAGCAGCUGGCAUAAGUGAUAUGGACGAACAGAGCGAGUGAUGAUGAGCUCUCGAUGAGGUGAAGACGACAUCUGAUCGGUCUGUCUUUUUGACCACCCUUGUGGAGUUUGUUGGUCAGAAUGAGUUGAUGGAUGCUGUUGUGGUCAGUAGUUGAUGUUAAUCAGGAUGUUCAUUUGCUGAUCCCCACUUUUGGGAAAUGCAUUCUGAAGCCGGAGAUGUUGAAGUGGUACUUCCGGUGUGGAGGUCCUGUUCAGUGUUUACGUACUCAUUGUCUGUUUAGAGUUGUUUUCUGUUAGAAUGUAGUUGUUAUUAGAGAGACAAUUCAAGACAAUAUCGAUUGAGCGUUUUCAGAGAGGUUAUGUGUCAGAUAUGAGAUGUGAUCACUAAUCAAAACGUUAUGGAACGAUAUCCAGCUUCGGGUAUCGUUUCAGCGUGCACAUAAGCGAGCGCGGUGCGGUCUAUUGGCGUACGCGUUUCGGUUUAUAACCUUCAUCAGCGCCAGACACGCAUCGAUGAGAAUGUCUAACCUUGCAACACGCUAGAGAAUGUCACUCGUCAGUUGUCGUUCAUAUAAAGAAGUUUUGAGAAGUCGUGACGUGAUCGGAGGUUUGACUAGGUUUCAGAACAAUGGAUUCUUGUGUCCGUUUGACGUAAUGAGUUCUUUUGGUAUGUCGGCGGCGGGAGAUAUAUGUCUGUAUCCGGAAGCAACGGUGACGGUGUGGUUGGAAAGAGCAGCUGGCAUAAGUGAUAUGGACGAACAGAGCGAGUGAUGAUGAGCUCUCGAUGAGGUGAAGACGACAUCUGAUCGGUCUGUCUUUUUGACCACCCUUGUGGAGUUUGUUGGUCAGAAUGAGUUGAUGGAUGCUGUUGUGGUCAGUAGUUGAUGUUAAUCAGGAUGUUCAUUUGCUGAUCCCCACUUUUGGGAAAUGCAUUCUGAAGCCGGAGAUGUUGAAGUGGUACUUCCGGUGUGGAGGUCCUGUUCAGUGUUUACGUACUCAUUGUCUGUUUAGAGUUGUUUUCUGUUAGAAUGUAGUUGUUAUUAGAGAGACAAUUCAAGACAAUAUCGAUUGAGCGUUUUCAGAGAGGUUAUGUGUCAGAUAUGAGAUGUGAUCACUAAUCAAAACGUUAUGGAACGAUAUCCAGCUUCGGGUAUCGUUUCAGCGUGCACAUAAGCGAGCGCGGUGCGGUCUAUUGGCGUACGCGUUUCGGUUUAUAACCUUCAUCAGCGCCAGACACGCAUCGAUGAGAAUGUCUAACCUUGCAACACGCUAGAGAAUGUCACUCGUCAGUUGUCGUUCAUAUAAAGAAGUUUUGAGAAGUCGUGACGUGAUCGGAGGUUUGACUAGGUUUCAGAACAAUGGAUUCUUGUGUCCGUUUGACGUAAUGAGUUCUUUUGGUAUGUCGGCGGCGGGAGAUAUAUGUCUGUAUCCGGAAGCAACGGUGACGGUGUGGUUGGAAAGAGCAGCUGGCAUAAGUGAUAUGGACGAACAGAGCGAGUGAUGAUGAGCUCUCGAUGAGGUGAAGACGACAUCUGAUCGGUCUGUCUUUUUGACCACCCUUGUGGAGUUUGUUGGUCAGAAUGAGUUGAUGGAUGCUGUUGUGGUCAGUAGUUGAUGUUAAUCAGGAUGUUCAUUUGCUGAUCCCCACUUUUGGGAAAUGCAUUCUGAAGCCGGAGAUGUUGAAGUGGUACUUCCGGUGUGGAGGUCCUGUUCAGUGUUUACGUACUCAUUGUCUGUUUAGAGUUGUUUUCUGUUAGAAUGUAGUUGUUAUUAGAGAGACAAUUCAAGACAAUAUCGAUUGAGCGUUUUCAGAGAGGUUAUGUGUCAGAUAUGAGAUGUGAUCACUAAUCAAAACGUUAUGGAACGAUAUCCAGCUUCGGGUAUCGUUUCAGCGUGCACAUAAGCGAGCGCGGUGCGGUCUAUUGGCGUACGCGUUUCGGUUUAUAACCUUCAUCAGCGCCAGACACGCAUCGAUGAGAAUGUCUAACCUUGCAACACGCUAGAGAAUGUCACUCGUCAGUUGUCGUUCAUAUAAAGAAGUUUUGAGAAGUCGUGACGUGAUCGGAGGUUUGACUAGGUUUCAGAACAAUGGAUUCUUGUGUCCGUUUGACGUAAUGAGUUCUUUUGGUAUGUCGGCGGCGGGAGAUAUAUGUCUGUAUCCGGAAGCAACGGUGACGGUGUGGUUGGAAAGAGCAGCUGGCAUAAGUGAUAUGGACGAACAGAGCGAGUGAUGAUGAGCU